RNAcentral lists this ribosomal RNA (292 nucleotides) under uncultured bacterium. RNAcentral describes it as "partial 16S ribosomal RNA". It matches the Rfam family "Bacterial small subunit ribosomal RNA", at positions 505 to 796 of the family's 1533-position model. The record is from RNAcentral.
GUGCCAGCCGCCGCGGUAAUACGUAGGGGGCGAGCGUUGUCCGGAAUCAUUGGGCGUAAAGCGCGUGUAGGCGGCUUGGUAAGUCUGGUGUGAAAUCCUGGGGCUUAACCCCAGACCUGCACUGGAUACUGCCAAGCUUGAGUCCGGGAGGGGAGAGCGGAAUUCCUAGUGUAGCGGUGAAAUGCGCAGAUAUUAGGAAGAACACCGGUGGCGAAGGCGGCUCUCUGGAACGGUACUGACGCUGAGACGCGAAAGCGUGGGGAGCGAACAGGAUUAGAAACCCGCGUAGUCC